Molecule: ribosomal RNA, 706 nt
Filed under: Sphyrna tudes (smalleye hammerhead)
Lineage: Eukaryota; Metazoa; Chordata; Chondrichthyes; Carcharhiniformes; Carcharhinidae
Description: partial 16S ribosomal RNA
Source: RNAcentral
AUCUAAUUUAUUACAAUUUCCAAUCAAAACAUUCUAAUUUUAGUAUGGGCGACAGAACAAUAACCUUGGCGCAAUAGCUUAUGUACCGCAAGGGAAAGCUGAAAAAGAAAUGAAAAAAAUCAUUAAAGUACUAAAAAGCAGAGUUUAUAUCUCGUACCUUUUGCAUCAUGAUUUAGCUAGAAAAAUUAGGCAAAAAGAUUUUAAGUCUACCUUCCCGAAACUAAACGAGCUACUCCGAAGCAGCAUUAUAGAGCCAACCCGUCUCUGUGGCAAAAGAGUGGGUGAAAAGCCUACCGAGUUUAGUGAUAGCUGGUUACCCAAAAAAAGAACUUCAGUUCUGCAUUAAUUUUUUUACCUAGACAAGACUUCCUUAUUAAAGAAUCCAUAAGAAUUAAUAGUUAUUUAGAAGAGGUACAGCCCUUCUAAACCAAGAUACAACUUUUUAAGAUGGGAAAUGAUCACAAUCAUUAAGGUUAUCCUCUCAGUGGGCCUAAAAGCAGCCACCUGUAAAGCAAGCGUCGCAGCUCUAGCAACCUUUAAUUUUGAUACUCAUUCACUACCCUCUUAUUUUAUAAAAAAGAACUUAUGCUAAAAUGAGUAAUAAGAGAACAAAUCUCUCCCGACACAAGUGUAUAUCAGAAGAAUUAAAUCACUGAUAAUUAAACGGCCCCAAACUGAGGCCAUUAACUAGAAAACCCUAUUUUUU